GACGAACGCUGGCGGCGUGCCUAAUACAUGCAAGUAGAACGCACAGUUUAUACCGUAGCUUGCUACACCAUAGACUGUGAGUUGCGAACGGGUGAGUAACGCGUAGGUAACCUGCCUGGUAGCGGGGGAUAACUAUUGGAAACGAUAGCUAAUACCGCAUAAUAUUGAUUAUUGCAUGAUAAUUAAUUGAAAGGUGCAAUUGCACCACUACCAGAUGGACCUGCGUUGUAUUAGCUAGUAGGUGAGGUAACGGCUCACCUAGGCGACGAUACAUAGCCGACCUGAGAGGGUGAUCGGCCACACUGGGACUGAGACACGGCCCAGACUCCUACGGGAGGCAGCAGUAGGGAAUCUUCGGCAAUGGACGAAAGUCUGACCGAGCAACGCCGCGUGAGUGAAGAAGGGUUUCGGAUCGUAAAGCUCUGUUGUAAGAGAAGAACGGGUGUGAGAGUGGAAAGUUCACACUGUGACGGUAGCUUACCAGAAAGAGACGGCUAACUACGUG
This 505-nucleotide ribosomal RNA is filed under the name uncultured bacterium. Its description in RNAcentral is "partial 16S ribosomal RNA". It matches the Rfam family "Bacterial small subunit ribosomal RNA", at positions 28 to 507 of the family's 1533-position model. The record is from RNAcentral.